CUACGGGGGGCAGCAGCUGAGGAAAUUUUACAAUGCUCGAAAGAGUGAUAAAAUAAACCAGAGUGUUUCUUUCUAAGAAACUUUUGUCUGUUUUAAAAAGACAGACGAAUAAGGACUGGGCAAGACCGGUGCCAGCCGCCGCGGUAAUACCGGCGGUCCGAGUCGCAUCAACAUUUAUUGGGUCUAAAACAUCCGUAGCUUGUUUUGUAAGUUUCUUGUGAAAUCUCAUAUCUCAAGUAUGAGGCGUGCAAGAAAUACUGCAUUACUAGAGACCGGAAGACGUAAGGAGUACGAUUGAGGUAGUGGUAAAAUACGUUAAGCUCAAUUGGACUAACAAUGGCGAAGGCACCUUACGAGUACGGGUCUGACAGUGAGGGAUGAAGGCUAGGGGCGCAAAAGGGAUUAGAUACCCUCGUAGUC
This 420-nucleotide ribosomal RNA is filed under the name uncultured archaeon. RNAcentral's name for it is "partial 16S ribosomal RNA". It matches the Rfam family "Archaeal small subunit ribosomal RNA", at positions 323 to 746 of the family's 1478-position model. The record is from RNAcentral.